GUGAAAACGCAGCGAAAUGCGAUAAGUAGUGUGAAUUGCAGAAUUCAGUGAAUCAUCGAAUCUUUGAACGCACAUUGCGCCCUUUGGUAUUCCAAAGGGCAUGCCUGUUCGAGCGUCAUUUGUACCCUCAAGCUUUGCUUGGUGUUGGGCGUCUUGUCUCUAGCUUUGCUGGAGACUCGCCUUAAAGUAAUUGGCAGCCGGCCUACUGGUUUCGGAGCGCAGCACAAGUCGCACUCUCUAUCAGCAAAGGUCUAGCAUCCACUAAGCCUUUUUUUCAACUUUUGACCUCGGAUCAGGUAGGGAUACCCGCUGAACUUAAGCAUAUCAAUAAGCGGAGGA
This 339-nucleotide unclassified non-coding RNA is filed under the name soil metagenome. Its description in RNAcentral is "partial contains 5.8S ribosomal RNA, internal transcribed spacer 2, and large subunit ribosomal RNA". The stretch from base 4 to 118 matches the Rfam family "5.8S ribosomal RNA", at positions 40 to 154 of the family's 154-position model. The record is from RNAcentral.